ACGGGAGGCAGCAGUGGGGAAUAUUGCACAAUGGGGGAAACCCUGAUGCAGCGACGCCGCGUGAGCGAAGAAGUAUUUCGGUAUGUAAAGCUCUAUCAGCAGGGAAGAAAAUGACGGUACCUGACUAAGAAGCCCCGGCUAACUGCGUGCCAGCAGCCGCGGUAAUACGUAGGGGGCAAGCGUUAUCCGGAUUUACUGGGUGUAAAGGGAGCGUAGGUGGCAUGGUAAGCCAGAAGUGAAAACCCGGGGCUCAACCCCGCGGAUUGCUUUUGGAACUAUCAGGCUGGAGUGCUGGAGGGGUAAGCGGAAUUCCUAGUGUAGCGGUGAAAUGCGUAGAUAUUAGGAGGAACACCGGUGGCGAAGGCGGCUUCCUGGACAGUAACUGACACUGAGGCUCGAAAGCGUGGGGAGCAAACAGGAUUAGAUACCCUGGUA
RNAcentral lists this ribosomal RNA (435 nucleotides) under uncultured bacterium. RNAcentral describes it as "bacterial SSU rRNA". It matches the Rfam family "Bacterial small subunit ribosomal RNA", at positions 341 to 792 of the family's 1533-position model. The record is from RNAcentral.